GGCUCAGGACGACGCUGGCGGCGUGCUUAACACAUGCAAGUCGAACGGAGGCUUUCCUCGGGGGAAGCCUUAGUGGCGGACGGGUGAGUAACGCGUGAGCAAUCUGCCUUGCACAGGGGGAUAACAACUGGAAACGGUUGCUAAUACCGCAUAACGUAACGGGGAGGCAUCUUUCUGUUACCAAAGGAGCAAUCCGGUGCAAGAUGAGCUCGCGUCCGAUUAGAUAGUUGGCGGGGCAACGGCCCACCAAGUCAACGAUCGGUAGCCGGACUGAGAGGUUGACCGGCCACAUUGGGACUGAGACACGGCCCAGACUCCUACGGGAGGCAGCAGUGGGGAAUAUUGGGCAAUGGGCGAAAGCCCUGACCCAGCAACGCCGCGUGAAGGAUGAAGGUUUUCGGAUUGUAAACUUCUUUGACUGAGGACGACAAAAGGACGGUACUCAGAAAACAAGCCACGGCUAACUACGUGCCAGCCGCUGC
RNAcentral lists this ribosomal RNA (482 nucleotides) under uncultured bacterium. RNAcentral describes it as "bacterial SSU rRNA". It matches the Rfam family "Bacterial small subunit ribosomal RNA", at positions 21 to 518 of the family's 1533-position model. The record is from RNAcentral.